This 264-nucleotide ribosomal RNA is filed under the name Triticum aestivum (bread wheat). RNAcentral describes it as "partial small subunit ribosomal RNA". Lineage: Eukaryota; Viridiplantae; Streptophyta; Magnoliopsida; Poales; Poaceae. The record is from RNAcentral.
AUGCUUCUUAAGAAUAAAAUCUUUGCAUGGUAUCUUUGUCGCGGAGUCGUUCUUACUAAAGAUAACCUUAUUAAAAGGAAUAGGCAUGGAAGUACGCAAUGUGUCUUUUGUCACCAUGAUAAGACAAUAAAACAUUUAUUCUUCCAAUGCAAAUUGGCUCGUUCUAUAUGGUCAGUCAUCCAAAUAGCUUCUUCCUUGUAUCCUCCUUGUAGUGUUUCUAAUAUAUUUGGCAACUGGUUACAUGGGAUUGAUCACAGAGUGUAA